UACGUAGGGACCGAGGCGUUGUCCGGAUUCAUUGGGCGUAAAGAGCUCGUAGGCGGCCACUCAAGUCGAAUGUGAAACCUCGAGGCUUAACCUCGAGCCUGCAUUCGAUACUGGGCGGCUAGAGUCUGGUAGGGGGAUCUGGAAUUCCUGGUGUAGCGGUGGAAUGCGCAGAUAUCAGGAGGAACACCGGUGGCGAAGGCGGGAUCCUGGGCCAGUACUGACGCUGAGGAGCGAAAGCGUGGGGAGCAAACAGG
RNAcentral lists this ribosomal RNA (254 nucleotides) under uncultured bacterium. Its description in RNAcentral is "partial 16S ribosomal RNA". It matches the Rfam family "Bacterial small subunit ribosomal RNA", at positions 524 to 776 of the family's 1533-position model. The record is from RNAcentral.